This 499-nucleotide ribosomal RNA is filed under the name uncultured bacterium. Its description in RNAcentral is "partial 16S ribosomal RNA". It matches the Rfam family "Bacterial small subunit ribosomal RNA", at positions 28 to 507 of the family's 1533-position model. The record is from RNAcentral.
GACGAACGCUGGCGGCGUGCUUAACACAUGCAAGUCGAACGGGCCUGUCUUCUUUUUUGGGGGGUGGGUUGAGUGGCGAACGGGUGAGUAUCACGUGAGUAACCUGCCCUUCGGUCCUGGAUAACCGCUUGAAAGGGCGGCUAAUACGGGGUGGUCCGGUUGGUCCGCAUGGGCUGGUCGGGAUAGAUUCACUGUUUUUGGUGUUUCGGCGGGGGAUGGGCUCGCGGCCUAUCAGCUUGUUGGUGGGGUGAUGGCCUACCAAGGCGGUGACGGGUAGCCGGCCUGAGAGGGUGGGCGGCCACACUGGGACUGAGAUACGGCCCAGACUCCUGCGGGAGGCAGCAGUGGGGGUAUUGCACAAUGGGCGGAAGCCUGAUGCAGCGACGUCGCGUGAGGGAUGGAGGCCUUCGGGUUGUGAACCUCUGUUUCCGGUGGUGAAGGCCCUGUCCGUGUGGUGGGGUUGACGGUAGCCGGGGAUGAAGCGCCGGCUAACUACGUG